Molecule: unclassified non-coding RNA, 342 nt
Filed under: soil metagenome
Description: partial contains 5.8S ribosomal RNA, internal transcribed spacer 2, and large subunit ribosomal RNA
Rfam family: 5.8S ribosomal RNA (bases 1-120)
Source: RNAcentral
GAUGAAGAACGUAGCGAAAUGCGAUAGGUAAUGUGAAUUGCAGAAUUCAGUGAAUCAUCGAAUCUUUGAACGCACAUUGCGCCCGCCAGCAUUCUGGCGGGCAUGCCUGUUCGAGCGUCAUUUCAACCCUCGAGCCCCCCCGGGGGCCUCGGUGUUGGGGGACGGCACACCAGCCGCCCCCGAAAUGCAGUGGCGACCUCGCCGCAGCCUCCCCUGCGUAGUAGCACACACCUCGCACCGGAGCGCGGAGACGGUCACGCCGUAAAACGCCCAACUUCUUAGAGUUGACCUCGGAUCAGGUAGGAAUACCCGCUGAACUUAAGCAUAUCAAUAAGCGGAGGA